UACGAAGGGGGCGAGCGUUGUUCGGAUUUACUGGGCGUAAAGGGCGCGCAGGCGGCUAUCCAAGUCAGGCGUGAAAGCCCCGGGCUUAACCUGGGAGGUGCGUCUGGGACUGGGUGGCUAGAGUUCGGGAGAGGAGAGUGGAAUUCCCAGUGUAGAGGUGAAAUUCGUAGAUAUUGGGAAGAACACCGGUGGCGAAGGCGGCGUUCUGGACUGCAACUGACACUGAGGAACGAAAGCCAGGGGAGCAAACGGG
Molecule: ribosomal RNA, 253 nt
Filed under: uncultured bacterium
Lineage: Bacteria
Description: partial 16S ribosomal RNA
Rfam family: Bacterial small subunit ribosomal RNA
Source: RNAcentral